UGAGUACGAGAUGCUACGGCAUCGAAGCAGUCUAUGUCAUACUUCCAAGAAAAGCUUGCACUGUCAGAAACAGAUAAUGCCUGUACCAUAACCGACACAGGUGGGUAGGUAGAGUAUACUAAGGGGCGCGAGAUAACUCUCUCUAAGGAACUCGGCAAAAUGACUCCGUAACUUCGGGAGAAGGAGUGCCUUAUUUUUAAGGUUGCAAUAACAAGAUCCAAGCAACUGUUUACCAAAAACACAGGUCUCCGCUAAGUCGUAAGACGAUGUAUGGGGGCUGACGCCUGCCCAGUGCCAGAAGGUUAAAGAAGUCGGUUAGCAUUCGCGAAGCUGGUAACUGAAGCCCUGGUGAACGGCGGCCGUAACGAUAACGGUCCUAAGGUAGCGAAAUUCCUUGUCGGGUAGUUCCGACCCGCACGAAAGGCGUAAUGAUUUGGAUACUGUCUCGGAGAGGGGCUCGGUGAAAUAGACUUGUCUGUGAAGAUGCGGACUACCUACACCUGGACAGAAAGACCCUAUGAAGCUUUACUGUAACUUGAAAUUGAAAUUGGACUUUAUUUGCGCAGUAUAGGUGGGAGGCGUUGAAAAUAUUCUUGCGGGAUAUUGGAGCCAUCAGUGAGAUACCACUCUUGUAAUGUUAGAUUUCUAACUUUAUAUCAUUAUCUGGUUAAAGAACAGUUUCAGGCGGGCAGUUUGACUGGGGCGGUCGCCUCCCAAAUGGUAACGGAGGCGCACAAAGGUUUCCUCUGAACGGGUAGAAAUCGUAUCUAGAGUGUAAAGGCAUAAGGAAGCUUGACUGUGAGACCUACAAGUCGAGCAGGGACGAAAGUCGGUCUUAGUGAUCUGACGGUGCUGAGUGGAAAGGCCGUCACUCAACGGAUAAAAGUUACUCUAAGGAUAACAGGCUGAUCUCCCCCAAGAGUUCACAUCGACGGGGAGGUUUGGCACCUCGAUGUCGGCUCAUCGCAUCCUGGGGCGGUAGUACGUCCCAAGGGUUGGGCUGUUCGCCCAUGAAAGCGGUACGCGAGCUGGGUUCAGAACGUCGUGAGACAGUUCGGUCCAUAUCCGGUGUAGGCGUUAGAAUAUUGAGAGGAGCCUUCUUUAGUACGAGAGGACCGAGAAGGACAUACCUCUGGUGUACCAGUUAUCGUGCCAACGGUAAACGCUGGGUAGCUAUGUAUGGAGUGGAUAACCGCUGAAAGCAUCUAAGUGGGAAGCCCACCUCAAGAUAAG
Molecule: ribosomal RNA, 1233 nt
Filed under: metagenome
Description: bacterial LSU rRNA
Rfam family: Bacterial large subunit ribosomal RNA
Source: RNAcentral